GCAAAGGUGACCUUGACGAGCAGGGCAAUGGCCAGACACGAGUAAGACACCAAAGAUGACUGGAAGCACUCAAAAAAGUUUACCACGCUGGAGCUAUGUCAGGUUGUACGAGGGCAGUUAAUGAAUAUACUUGCGACCCUUUUACUCUCAGACUCUCCUCCUUUUCUCGCUGCUGAACCCCUGCCAUCAUCAUGUCCAGACUGGCUGUCUCCAUGGUUGUGGCGCCAAGGUCACCGCAUCUUACAUCCUGAUGCAUUUUCAAGAAGACAUUAUUUGAUGUUAGAUGGCCAUUAUGUUCGCUUCAUAUGGACAGAGGACUAAUGGUACUCUUCCAUGAAGAGAAGCAAGUGGAUCAGUAUGUAGUAGCAGGUAUCAAUGUUUUCUCAUACUGAUGAUUCUGAAGUAAUUAGAUUGAGAAAAUUGCUUUAUUCCCCAAUUUCUCUCUGAAACCUUUGCCUUGUCCAUAGUCAUACCUAAAUGAGUUACUUUAUUUCCUAUAGCUCUAUUACUUUUUUCCCUAGAACCUGUCUCUUUAGUCUCCUUUACAAUACCAUGAUCAGGAGGCAAGAAAUAUGUGUGAAUGGAAUAAGAACUGUAUAUAGUUAUUGAUAAGCAUCUUCCAGUAUCUAACAUAUAAAGCCUCCUAGAGUACCCGCCAUUCAGGAGGCCUUCCCGUGCGCAUCAUUCCUGUCCGUUCGAUCUCCUUUGACUUUGGCUCCUGGUCGUUCGAUCAUUUGACUGGUGGUAAUUUUUGGUCACUGUGUAAUUAAUUUCUUGGCCUAUGACUGGUGGGCUCAGCACUCACAUGGAUUGGCUGGGUCAGUUGUUCCCUUGUCUGCGAGGGAUUAGGCAGCCACUCCGCGCCCGCCCCGUGCUCGACGUGCACAUCCUGAGCCCCGCGCCCCCUUGGCUCUCUCCUCUCCCUCCUUGUCUCCAACCCUAAACAUUUUCCCUCUCCACCCCACAGCCGCCUCCCCUAGCUCCUCGUCCCCUUCACUCAGUCCAUCCCUCAUCAUCUCGGAUCCAGCGGAUCUGAGGCGUGCGGGUGCGGAGGCGAGUUUCUCCGGCGGUGGCGGCGGCGGUCACCUGCAGGCAAAGGGCGGUGGCGGCACUCGAUUUGAUCUGCAGGAAAGAUAGAACAUGAGGAGAGAGAAGGAAGGAAAGGAGGAACGCCACCAUGGGCGAGGAGGGGCAACAUGGUCUUCGUGGUGGGAAUGGAGGAGCAGAGGAGGAUGGAGGUGGGUGGUGGGAGCAGAGUAGCAGGAGUUCCAGGUCCAGGCGAUGCUCGUGGAGUGGAGAAGC
Molecule: long non-coding RNA, 1302 nt
Organism: Triticum dicoccoides
Lineage: Eukaryota; Viridiplantae; Streptophyta; Magnoliopsida; Poales; Poaceae
Exons: 4
Source: RefSeq, a predicted model, not a curated record